RNAcentral lists this long non-coding RNA (892 nucleotides) under Homo sapiens (human). Its description in RNAcentral is "HSALNT0213980". The record is from RNAcentral. Lineage: Eukaryota; Metazoa; Chordata; Mammalia; Primates; Hominidae.
GUUGAAUUGUAAUUCCCAAUGUUGGAAGAGGGAACUGAUGGGAGGUGAUUGGAUCACGGGGGCAGAUUUCCCCUACGCUCUUCUUGUGAUAGUGAGUGAGUUCUCACCAGAGCUGAUGGUUUAAAAGUGUAUGGCACUUCCCCCCUUGCUCUCCCUCUCUCUCUCUCUCCUGCUGCCUUCUGAAGAAGGAGCUUGCUGCUUCUUUUCCUUCUGCCAUGAUUGUCAGUUUCCUGAGAUCUCCAGUCAUGCUUUCUGUUAAGCUCGUGAAACUGGGAGGAGCCAAGAUGGCCGAAUAGGAACAGCUCCGGUCUACAGCUCCCAGCGUGAGCGACUCAGAAGAUGGGUGAUUUCUGCAUUUCCAUCUGAGCUACAAGCAAGAAGAUCCUGGAUCAUGCCAGAGGUUUAAAAGAAGAAGUGAAGUUCAACAAGUUCAUGUCAUAUUUUAACAUGUUCCAGAAUUUCUCACAGGUCUACCAAACUCAAAUGCAACAUUUCCAAAUCACCGUUAAUGGUCUUCGCCUCAAAUCUGUGAAUGGUAUCCUAUGAAGUUGUGCAAUAUGAUAUCUUCAGAUCCCCCAUCUCUGAAUGUUCCCACCUGUGUGUGCAGCAAAGAGCCAAAGUUUAAUCUUUGACAUUUUCUUUCUUUCUCCCACAUUCCAUUAGUUAUUGUUCUGUCCCUGUAUCGUAUGUUUUCGUUGCCCUCUAUACCUACCUUACAUAAAACUUAAUAGAGCAUAUAACUAAUUAUGUAUUUUCUUGAUGAUCUAAUCAACAAUAAACUUUCUCAGUAGUCUAAAUUCUUCAUGAAAUCAUAGACUAUAUUUUACUCACUAUUAUAGCCCUAGUAUAUAGCAAUAUUGUUAUAUGUGAGGUGCUUAAUAUAUAAUUUUCC